Molecule: ribosomal RNA, 499 nt
Filed under: uncultured bacterium
Lineage: Bacteria
Description: partial 16S ribosomal RNA
Rfam family: Bacterial small subunit ribosomal RNA
Source: RNAcentral
GACGAACGCUGGCGGCGUGCUUAACACAUGCAAGUCGAACGGGCCCGCCCCUGUUUUUGGGGGUGGGUUGAGUGGCGAACGGGUGAGUAUCACGGGAGUAACCUGCCCCCUGCUCCUGGAUAACUGCUUGAAAGGGCGGCUAAUACGGGGUGUGCCGGCUGGUCCGCAUGGGCCUGGUCGGGAUAGUUUCAUCUUCGGGUGUUUCGGUGGGGGAUGGGCUCGCGGCCUAUCAGCUUGUUGGUGGGGUGAUGGCCCACCAAGGCGGUGACGGGUAGCCGGCCUGAGAGGGUGGGCGGCCACACUGGGACUGAGACACGGCCCAGACUCCUGCGGGAGGCAGCAGUGGGGGGUAUUGCACAAUGGGCGGAAGCCUGAUGCAGCGACGUCGCGUGAGGGAUGGAGGCCUUCGGGUUGUGAACCUCUUUCUCCGGUGGUGAAGGCCCUGUCCGUUGCGGCGGGGUUGACGGUAGCCGGGUAUGAAGCGCCGGCUAACUACGUG